RNAcentral lists this long non-coding RNA (759 nucleotides) under Cricetulus griseus (Chinese hamster). RNAcentral describes it as "lncRNA (ENSCGRG00015030812.1)". Lineage: Eukaryota; Metazoa; Chordata; Mammalia; Rodentia; Cricetidae. The record is from RNAcentral.
GAGAGCUACCAGCUAUCCCAUGAUGCAAGCUUAGCCAAUCCAAGCUCUUCUUUGGGUGGUACUAGAGGCAGUAAAUCAGGAAAGGGCUCAUCCAGUUUCCUCUGAUGUCACCAACACCCUUUCAUAGUGGAGGAAGCCUGUCUGAAGCACCAGAGUAGCCAGAAGGAGAAGAGGAGAGAAGGUCCAAAUACCUACAUCCAGAUCUACUCACGUUUGCUCCAGACAAUUCUUAGUGGCCCUCUGGGAUGCAGAGAACCCAACCAGGGUCCUCUACAAUUCAAGCGCUCUUAACCACUGAGCCACCUCUCCAGACUCACAUAGAGGUUUGUCACAACCCACAGGUUGAGAACCGCUGCUUUAGAACAUCCUGCAUCUUAAAAUGGACUGUUUCAUCUCAGAGGAAAUUGCUACAUGACAAGUGCCAAGUAACCUUUCCUGCUAAGUGUGGCUAUUCUUUCGCGUUCCAGGAAAGCUGGAGAUGGUAGCUUCCUAAGGAGUAAUGGCAAUGAAGACUUUUCCUAUCUUACUACAUCAUUCGGUCUGUCCUUGUGCAGUGAGAAUCAUGAGUUCGAGAUUAGAAUGGGUAACAUGCAAGACUCUUGUCGCCAGGAAAAUAUCCUUUGAUCUGCCUUGUACUUUGGACAGCUCUUUUACAUAAGCGUGAUUUUGUAAGAGGCAUGAAACCAUUUGGAAAAUUCUGCUUGACCAAUGUAUACAGUUCUCUCUCUCUCUCUCUCUCUCUCUCUCUCCCUCUCUCUC